UACAGAGACCUCAAGCGUUAUCCGGAUUCACUGGGCGUAAAGCGUCCGCAGGUGGUUCGUUAAGUCAUUUGUCAAAUCCCGGUGCUCAACAUCGGAACUGCGAAUGAUACUGACGGACUCGAGGAUGGAAGAGGUAAGAGGAACUGCUGGUGUAGUAGUAAAAUGCGUUAAUAUCAGCAGGAACACCAAAGGCGAAGGCAUCUUACUGGGACAUUCCUGACACUCAUGGACGAAAGCGUGGGGAGCAAAACGG
Molecule: ribosomal RNA, 253 nt
Filed under: uncultured bacterium
Lineage: Bacteria
Description: partial 16S ribosomal RNA
Rfam family: Bacterial small subunit ribosomal RNA
Source: RNAcentral